AACGCGAAGAACCUUACCAAGUCUUGACAUCCUGCUGACUGUUCCUUAGCCGGAACUUUCCUUCGGGACAGCAGUGACAGGUGGUGCAUGGUUGUCGUCAGCUCGUGUCGUGAGAUGUUGGGUUAAGUCCCGCAACGAGCGCAACCCUUGUCCUUAGUAGCCAGCGGUUCGGCCGGGCACUCUGGGGAGACUGCCGGAGAUAAUCCGGAGGAAGGUGGGGAUGACGUCAAAUCAUCAUGCCCCUUAUGAUUUGGGCUACACACGUGCUACAAUGGCGUAAACAAAGAGAAGCGAACCUGUGAGGGUGAGCAAAUCUCAAAAAUAACGUCUCAGUUCGGAUUGUAGUCUGCAACUCGACUACAUGAAGCUGGAAUCGCUAGUAAUCGCAGAUCAGAAUGCUGCGGUGAAUACGUUCCCGGGUCUUGUACACACCG
RNAcentral lists this ribosomal RNA (434 nucleotides) under uncultured rumen bacterium. RNAcentral describes it as "bacterial SSU rRNA". It matches the Rfam family "Bacterial small subunit ribosomal RNA", at positions 958 to 1392 of the family's 1533-position model. The record is from RNAcentral.